UAAAGGGCCCAUAUCAUGCAAAAUCCACUUUUUAGACAUUUUGGAGCGUUCCUAUGACUCUAUGGGUCACAUAUACACACACUGAGCACGGUAGAAAUGCAUUUCCUGCUUUUUUCACAUUUUGAAAACGUAAAUUUUCUUAUCCAAUGAAAACAGCCACGACCUACUCUGAGGCCGUUCCCCAGUUCUCGUCACACUGGUUGAAAGUUCUCCUUGCAAAUCCUGAACCACCACCCCCACAAUGAUCCCGAACCAAAACUGGACUUCCGCCAUUUCCCCCCUCUCACUCACCGUGAACAGACCAGCACGGCAGCGCCCAAGUCCUCCCAUAGAAAUAGUUCGGUUCUUGGGUGUUCUAACCAACACCAAAGUCUAUUAAUUUUACCAGGGAUCAACAAGUGAGGAUUUGUGGGUCACUUUUAUUUUUAACGGACCGGUGCCAGAAACACUGCCUCAGCAUUUAUACGUAUGUGCAUUUCAAACGAGGGUGCGUACAAUGCUGGAUUUGUUUCACGGCUCCUGUUGGAAAAAAAGGACCUAUUCCUAAAGUCCGUCAUCCACUCACUGAAGAGGGCAAAUCCCAGUUGCCCACAUGCAAGGAGGCUGUCAAACAGAGAAAUCACUGCAGACUGUUGGUACACAGACAUCUGCUGCCCAGCUCAGGAGUAAAGGUAUGUAAGUUUGUAUGUACCAACAGUAAGAUAGGUAAUAGAAGAUUUUAAUUGGUAUAUACUGUUUAGAUUUUAUAUUUGAAUUGUAACAACUGUUUAUCUGUUGUUUUAGCACAGACAGGCCUGUCCUCUUGUUUGGUUUAAUUUUUUGUCUGGUAUUGUGUGUUCUUACAUUAGAGAAGGUUUUGACCUACAUAAUAAUUAACAUUUCACUAAUCUACAAUUCUGAUUGCACUACCUUUUGUUUUGAUGAGGUGAUGGUGAGGACAGCCACAGCUUCCAUCUGGUAGAGGACUGCUUCCGCUCAGUCUUCCAAAUAGUGAUGAGAACAAGGAUCACCACAUCUCCCUGUUUACCCUACUUUCAUGCAUUUCGUCUGCAAGGCCCUGCAAAAGCUUCUCCUUCGUCCUCAAACCCCCAGACUUCUUAAUUAACUCAGUAACCUAUACAUUGCACAUUGGAGUGUGAAGGUAACAGUUUGUUCUAGCUUUGGCGUAGUGGUGUAUUUUUUUGGUUUACAAUAAAGUUGGCUUUAACUAUUA
Betta splendens (Siamese fighting fish) is the source of this 1213-nucleotide long non-coding RNA. RefSeq lists it as uncharacterized. The transcript has 2 exons. Lineage: Eukaryota; Metazoa; Chordata; Actinopteri; Anabantiformes; Osphronemidae. The record is from RefSeq and is a predicted model, not a curated record.